AAGGGACCUAGCGUAGUUCGGAAUUACUGGGCUUAAAGAGUUCGUAGGUGGUUGAAAAAGUUGGUGGUGAAAUCCCAGAGCUUAACUCUGGAACUGCCAUCAAAACUUUUCAGCUAGAGUAUGAUAGAGGAAAGCAGAAUUUCUAGUGUAGAGGUGAAAUUCGUAGAUAUUAGAAAGAAUACCAAUUGCGAAGGCAGCUUUCUGGAUCAUUACUGACACUGAUGAACGAAAGCAUGGGUAGCGAAGAGGAUUAGAUACCCUCGUAGUCCAUGCCGUAAACGAUGUGUGUUAGACGUUGGAAAUUUAUUUUCAGUGUCGCAGGGAAACCGAUAAACACACCGCCUGGGGAGUACGACCGCAAGGUUAAAACUCAAAUGAAUUGACGGGGACCCGCACAAGUAGUGGAGCAUGUGGUUUAAUUCGAAGAUACGCGCAGAACCUUACCAACACUUGACAUGUUCGUCGCGACUCUAAGAGAUUAGAGUUUUCGGUUCGGCCGGACGAAACACAGGUGCUGCAUGGCUGUCGUCAGCUCGUGUCGUGAGAUGUUGGGUUAAGUCCCGCAACGAGCGCAACCCUCACUUUUAGUUGCCAUCAUUAAGUUGGGCACUCUGAAAGAACUGCCAGUGAUAAGCUGGAGGAAGGUGGGGAUGACGUCAAGUCCUCAUGGCCCUUAUGUGUUGGGCUACACACGUGCUACAAUGGCAACUACAACAGGAAGCAAAACGGCAACGUUAAGCAAAUCCCGAAAAGAUGCCUCAGUUCGGAUUGCACUCUGCAACUCGAGUGCAUGAAGCUGGAAUUACUAGUAAUCGUGGAUCAGCGUGCCACGGUGAAUGCGUUCCCGGGUCUUGUACACACCGCCCGUCACACCAUGGGAGUUGGUUCUACCUUAAGGCAAGGUUUCAAACCCUUGACCACGGUAUAGUCAGCGACUGGGGUGAAGUCGUAACAAGGUAGCCGUAGGGGAACCUGCGGCUGGAUUACCUCCUUUCUAAGGAUGAGUGAAAGAGGAAAAUUUCACUCUAAAUAAUAUACAUCGGUAAUGUUGACCGUCCUCAUUUCUCUUCUUAAAGUAAUGUUUCCUUCUUGUAGGGCCGGUAGCUCAGUUGGUUAGAGCACACCCUUGAUAAGGGUGGGGUCGAAAGUUCGAGUCUUUCUCGGCCCACCAAAAACCUAAAUGGGGGAUUAGCUCAUCUGGGAGAGCGCCUGAUUUGCAUUCAGGAGGUAGCAGGUUCGAUCCCUGUAUCCUCCACCAGGAAACAUUUAGUUAUUAAAACUGUAAAUAAAAAUAAUUUAUAUCAAUAUCUAUAUCCGAACAUUAAAAGUUAUUAUUUAAUGUUCAAAAUAAAAAUUUGAUCACAACAUAGAUAAAUUUUCUGUUAAAAGAAUUCUUUUCUGUGCAUAAAUCAAGCGUUUAAGGGCGUGUGGUGGAUGCCUUGGCACUGAAAGCCGAUGAAGGACGUGAUAUACUGCGAUAAGUUUCGGGGAGCUGUAUGUAAGCUUUGAUCCGAAAAUUU
Molecule: small RNA, 1520 nt
Filed under: uncultured Arctic sea ice bacterium
Lineage: Bacteria
Description: bacterial SSU rRNA
Rfam family: Bacterial small subunit ribosomal RNA (bases 1-994)
Source: RNAcentral